Molecule: ribosomal RNA, 467 nt
Filed under: uncultured bacterium
Lineage: Bacteria
Description: partial 16S ribosomal RNA
Rfam family: Bacterial small subunit ribosomal RNA
Source: RNAcentral
GACGAACGCUGGCGGCGUGCUUAACACAUGCAAGUCGAACGGAAAGGCCCUGCUUUUGUGGGGUGCUCGAGUGGCGAACGGGUGAGUAACACGUGAGUAACCUGCCCUUGACUUUGGGAUAACUUCGGGAAACUGGGGCUAAUACCGGAUAGGAGCUCCUGCUGCAUGGUGGGGGUUGGAAAGUUUCGGCGGUUGGGGAUGGACUCGCGGCUUAUCAGCUUGUUGGUGGGGUAGUGGCUUACCAAGGCUUUGACGGGUAGCCGGCCUGAGAGGGUGACCGGCCACAUUGGGACUGAGAUACGGCCCAGACUCCUACGGGAGGCAGCAGUGGGGAAUAUUGCACAAUGGGCGGAAGCCUGAUGCAGCAACGCCGCGUGCGGGAUGACGGCCUUCGGGUUGUAAACCGCUUUCGCCUGUGACGAAGCGUGAGUGACGGUAAUGGGUAAGAAGCACCGGCUAACUACGUG